UGGGGAAUAUUGGACAAUGGGCGAAAGCCUGAUCCAGCCAUGCCGCGUGUGUGAAGAAGGUCUUCGGAUUGUAACGCACUUUAAGUUGGGAGGAAGGGCAGUAAGCGAAUACCUUGCUGUUUUGACGUUACCGACAGAAUAAGCACCGGCUAACUCUGUGCCAGCAGCCGCGGUAAUACAGAGGGUGCAAGCGUUAAUCGGAAUUACUGGGCGUAAAGCGCGCGUAGGUGGUUCGUUAAGUUGAAUGUGAAAGCCCCGGGCUCAACCUGGGAACUGCAUCCAAAACUGGCGAGCUAGAGUAGGGCAGAGGGUGGUGGAAUUUCCUGUGGAGCGGUGAAAUGCGUAGAUAUAGGAAGGAACACCAGUGGCGAAGGCGACCACCUGGGCUCAUACUGACACUGAGGUGCGAAAGCGUGGGGAGCAAACAGG
Molecule: ribosomal RNA, 429 nt
Filed under: Pseudomonadota bacterium
Lineage: Bacteria; Pseudomonadati; Pseudomonadota
Description: Proteobacteria bacterium partial 16S ribosomal RNA
Rfam family: Bacterial small subunit ribosomal RNA
Source: RNAcentral